Molecule: ribosomal RNA, 322 nt
Filed under: uncultured bacterium
Lineage: Bacteria
Description: bacterial SSU rRNA
Rfam family: Bacterial small subunit ribosomal RNA
Source: RNAcentral
AUUGAACGCUGGCGGCAUGCCUAACACAUGCAAGUCGAACGGAGGUAGGGGCAACUCUACUUCAGUGGCGGACGGGUGAGGAAUGCGUCGGAAUCUACCCUAUGGUGGGGGAUAACACAGGGAAACAUGUGCUAAUACCGCAUAAUGUCGAGAGACCAAAGCAGGGGACCGCAAGGCCUUGCGCGAUAGGAUGAGCCGACGCCCGAUUAGGCUUGUUGGUAGGGUAAUGGCCUACCAAGGCGACGAUCGGUAGCUGGUCUGAGAGGAUGAUCAGCCACACUGGGACUGAGACACGGCCCAGACUCCUACGGGAGGCAGCAGU